GACGAACCGUCCGAACGUUAUUCGGAAUCACUGGGCUUAAAGGGCGCGUAGGCGGUAUAUUAAGCCUGUUGUUAAAUAUCUUGGCUUAACCAAGAAAAGGUGGUUGGAACUGAUAUGCUAGAGUAUGGAAGAGAGAAGUGGAAUUCCUGGAGUAGCGGUUAAAUGCGUAGAUCUCAGGAGGAACACCGAUGGCGAAGGCAGCUUCUUGGUCCAUAUCUGAUGCUGAGGCACGAAAGCGUGGGGAGCAAACAGG
RNAcentral lists this ribosomal RNA (253 nucleotides) under uncultured bacterium. RNAcentral describes it as "partial 16S ribosomal RNA". It matches the Rfam family "Bacterial small subunit ribosomal RNA", at positions 524 to 776 of the family's 1533-position model. The record is from RNAcentral.